This 369-nucleotide ribosomal RNA is filed under the name Triticum aestivum (bread wheat). Its description in RNAcentral is "partial small subunit ribosomal RNA". Lineage: Eukaryota; Viridiplantae; Streptophyta; Magnoliopsida; Poales; Poaceae. The record is from RNAcentral.
AUGCCGGCGCAGUUCCUCAAGAUUGGAUGUGUGCACUCUUGCAGGCUGGUGAUGACAACCAUCUUGGACGCCUUCUUCGAGGACCUCGGCUUGCUUAAGGCGAUGAUUGAUCGUCCGACUUACUCUGGUUGUGGCAUAGCAUGCACACUAGGUGUUUGUUCAUUUGUUUGUGCUGCCUUUGAUAGGUUCCCUGCCUGUCGAUUUUUUUUUCUCUGCCGAGAAGUGCAUAUUGUUGAUUGGUCCGGCUUACAAAGAGGAGUACCAGCUUCCCGAGUCUCUUACAGAAGCACUAAAUUGAAUACGAGGAGCAUGCCCAUGGACAAUUUCAUGUAUGUGUAUUGCCAUUGUGAUACAAGGUUAAGUGUGUAA